GAAACCGUGUACGUACAAGCAGUGGGAGCACCUUCGGGUGUGACUGCGUACCUUUUGUAUAAUGGGUCAGCGACUUAUAUUCUGUAGCAAGGUUAACCGUAUAGGGGAGCCGCAGGGAAACCGAGUCUUAACUGGGCGUUAAGUUGCAGGGUAUAGACCCGAAACCCGGUGAUCUAGCCAUGGGCAGGUUGAAGGUUGGGUAACACUAACUGGAGGACCGAACCGACUAAUGUUGAAAAAUUAGCGGAUGACUUGUGGCUGGGGGUGAAAGGCCAAUCAAACCGGGAGAUAGCUGGUUCUCCCCGAAAGCU
This 311-nucleotide ribosomal RNA is filed under the name Klebsiella pneumoniae. RNAcentral describes it as "partial 23S ribosomal RNA". It matches the Rfam family "Bacterial large subunit ribosomal RNA", at positions 552 to 867 of the family's 2925-position model. Lineage: Bacteria; Pseudomonadati; Pseudomonadota; Gammaproteobacteria; Enterobacterales; Enterobacteriaceae. The record is from RNAcentral.